Molecule: ribosomal RNA, 423 nt
Filed under: uncultured bacterium
Lineage: Bacteria
Description: bacterial SSU rRNA
Rfam family: Bacterial small subunit ribosomal RNA
Source: RNAcentral
AAGACCUUGCACUUUUGGAGCGGCCGAUGUCUGAUUAGCUAGUUGGUGGGGUAAUGGCCUACCAAAGCUUCGAUCAGUAGCUGAUCUGAGAGGACGGCCAGCCACACUGGGACUGAGACACGGCCCAGACUCCUACGGGAGGCAGCAGUGGGGAAUUUUGGACAAUGGGCGCAAGCCUGAUCCAGCCAUGCCGCGUGAGUGAAGAAGGCCUUCGGGUUGUAAAGCUCUUUCAGCCGGGAAGAAAAGGUUGCGACUAAUAAUCGCAAUCCAUGACGGUACCGAAAGAAGAAGCACCGGCUAACUACGUGCCAGCAGCCGCGGUAAUACGUAGGGUGCGAGCGUUAAUCGGAAUUACUGGGCGUAAAGGGUGCGCAGGCGGUUUUGUAAGUCAGAUGUGAAAUCCCCGGGCUUAACCUGGGAACU